This is a non-coding RNA of Potamilus streckersoni, 73 nucleotides long. The record is from the annotation of a GenBank genome assembly. NCBI's taxonomy places the organism in Eukaryota, Metazoa, Mollusca, Bivalvia, Unionida, Unionidae.
GCUCCAGUGGCCUAGUGGUUAGAGCAUCUGUCUCAGAUGUGGGAGGUCAUUGGUUUAAUCCCAGUUCGAGUCA